GGGUUGGUAGCUCAGUGGUAGAGCAGCGGCCUUUUAAGCCGUUGGUCGUGGGUUCGAGUCCCACCCGACCCACCA
RNAcentral lists this transfer RNA (75 nucleotides) under Verrucomicrobiota bacterium. RNAcentral describes it as "Verrucomicrobia bacterium tRNA-Lys". It matches the Rfam family "tRNA". From Rfam's summary of the family: Transfer RNA (tRNA) molecules are approximately 80 nucleotides in length. RNAcentral also lists the same sequence under 5 other names. The record is from RNAcentral. Lineage: Bacteria; Pseudomonadati; Verrucomicrobiota.